This 687-nucleotide long non-coding RNA is filed under the name Citrus sinensis (sweet orange). Its description in RNAcentral is "long non-coding RNA (CSIN_LNC003110)". The record is from RNAcentral. Lineage: Eukaryota; Viridiplantae; Streptophyta; Magnoliopsida; Sapindales; Rutaceae.
UUACAGUUACUAUUAAUAGUAAAACUUCCCUAAAUAUCACAAUAGAUCAAUUCAAAAGGUGAAGUACUUUUUAUAUGACUUGAAGAAAAAGAAGUUUAUGUAUGUUCCCCCAAAGAGCAUACAUCACAAAUUCUUUUAUUGGAAAAAGAAACUUCAAGAGCUAAAGCAGAAAUAGAACUUGAGCGGUUGGUAGCAGAAUGACCCAACACCAAUGCCAAAUAUCAAAUGAGGCUUCACAUUUGCAUAAAGGUUUGUUGAAUGUUGCAAGUGAUAAUGACCAUUCCAACAUUUACCCACUCCAAUCGUUUUCUUUAUGAUGAGGUCCUGAAAUACACAAGUGUUAAGGAAAAAUUUCACUGAGCAAUUAAGGACUUUUGUGAUCUGUGAUACUAACAUCAAAAUGAACUUAAAAGAUGGUAUGAGUAAAAUAUUAUCAAGAUGGAGAUAAGAAUUAAUGGAAGUAGCACCAAUUCUGGUUAUCUGUGCAGUAGAGCCAUCAACCAUUUUAACGCUUGAGAGAGAAGUGUUUGGUGAUAAAGACUGAAACCGUUGAGGUGAGGAGCACAAAUGAUUUGUGGCUCCACUAUCAAUUAUCCAAUUAUCAUCAAGAGAAGAACUAAGGGCAGUACCUGCAAAAUUAGUGAGGGGAUCAUUUAUACCUCGUUGUAGUAUUGCAAGGAUUUAAUC